CAGCCGCCACGGUAAUACGUAGGGUGUGAGCGUUAAUCGGAAUUACUGGGCGCAAAGCGUGCGCAGGCGGUUAUAUAAGACAGAUGUGAAAUCCCCGGGCUCAACCUGGGACCUGCAUUUGUGACUGUAUAGCUAGAGUACGGUAGAGGGGGAUGGAAUUCCGCGUGUAGCAGUGAAAUGCGUAGAUAUGCGGAGGAACACCGAUGGCGAAGGCAAUCCCCUGGACCUGUACUGACGCUCAUGCACGAAAGCGUGGGGAGCAAACAGGAUUAGAUACCCCUGUAGUCCCUGUCUCUUAUAC
This 301-nucleotide ribosomal RNA is filed under the name uncultured bacterium. RNAcentral describes it as "partial 16S ribosomal RNA". It matches the Rfam family "Bacterial small subunit ribosomal RNA", at positions 509 to 807 of the family's 1533-position model. The record is from RNAcentral.